RNAcentral lists this ribosomal RNA (440 nucleotides) under uncultured bacterium. Its description in RNAcentral is "partial 16S ribosomal RNA". It matches the Rfam family "Bacterial small subunit ribosomal RNA", at positions 338 to 795 of the family's 1533-position model. The record is from RNAcentral.
CCUACGGGUGGCAGCAGUGGGGAAUAUUGCACAAUGGGCGAAAGCCUGAUGCAGCGACGCCGCGUGAGUGAAGAAGUUCUUCGUUUUGUAAACCUCUAUCAGCAGGGAAGAAAAUGCCGGUAGCUGAUUAGGAAUCAACUGAUAAAUACGUGCCAGCAGCCGCGGCAAUACGCCGGGGGCAAGCGUUAUCCGGAUUUACUGGGGGUAACGGGGGCGUAGACGGGAAUGCAAGCCACGAGUGAAAGCCCGGGGCCCAAUCACGGGACUGCUCUUGGAACUGGAAGGCGGGAGUAGAGGAGAGGAAAGCGGAAUUCCUAGUGUAGCGGUGAAAUGCGUAGAUAUUAGGAGGAACACCGGUGGCGAAGGCGGCCUGCUGGACCGUGACUGACGCUGAGGCACGAAGGCGUGGGGAGCAAACAGGAUUAGAUACCCUGGUAGUC